RNAcentral lists this ribosomal RNA (2349 nucleotides) under Escherichia coli. RNAcentral describes it as "partial 23S ribosomal RNA". It matches the Rfam family "Bacterial large subunit ribosomal RNA", at positions 609 to 2925 of the family's 2925-position model. The record is from RNAcentral. Lineage: Bacteria; Pseudomonadati; Pseudomonadota; Gammaproteobacteria; Enterobacterales; Enterobacteriaceae.
UGUAUAAUGGGUCAGCGACUUAUAUUCUGUAGCAAGGUUAACCGAAUAGGGGAGCCGAAGGGAAACCGAGUCUUAACUGGGCGUUAAGUUGCAGGGUAUAGACCCGAAACCCGGUGAUCUAGCCAUGGGCAGGUUGAAGGUUGGGUAACACUAACUGGAGGACCGAACCGACUAAUGUUGAAAAAUUAGCGGAUGACUUGUGGCUGGGGGUGAAAGGCCAAUCAAACCGGGAGAUAGCUGGUUCUCCCCGAAAGCUAUUUAGGUAGCGCCUCGUGAAUUCAUCUCCGGGGGUAGAGCACUGUUUCGGCAAGGGGGUCAUCCCGACUUACCAACCCGAUGCAAACUGCGAAUACCGGAGAAUGUUAUCACGGGAGACACACGGCGGGUGCUAACGUCCGUCGUGAAGAGGGAAACAACCCAGACCGCCAGCUAAGGUCCCAAAGUCAUGGUUAAGUGGGAAACGAUGUGGGAAGGCCCAGACAGCCAGGAUGUUGGCUUAGAAGCAGCCAUCAUUUAAAGAAAGCGUAAUAGCUCACUGGUCGAGUCGGCCUGCGCGGAAGAUGUAACGGGGCUAAACCAUGCACCGAAGCUGCGGCAGCGACACUAUGUGUUGUUGGGUAGGGGAGCGUUCUGUAAGCCUGUGAAGGUGGCCUGUGAGGGUUGCUGGAGGUAUCAGAAGUGCGAAUGCUGACAUAAGUAACGAUAAAGCGGGUGAAAAGCCCGCUCGCCGGAAGACCAAGGGUUCCUGUCCAACGUUAAUCGGGGCAGGGUGAGUCGACCCCUAAGGCGAGGCCGAAAGGCGUAGUCGAUGGGAAACAGGUUAAUAUUCCUGUACUUGGUGUUACUGCGAAGGGGGGACGGAGAAGGCUAUGUUGGCCGGGCGACGGUUGUCCCGGUUUAAGCGUGUAGGCUGGUUUUCCAGGCAAAUCCGGAAAAUCAAGGCUGAGGCGUGAUGACGAGGCACUACGGUGCUGAAGCGACAAAUGCCCUGCUUCCAGGAAAAGCCUCUAAGCAUCAGGUAACAUCAAAUCGUACCCCAAACCGACACAGGUGGUCAGGUAGAGAAUACCAAGGCGCUUGAGAGAACUCGGGUGAAGGAACUAGGCAAAAUGGUGCCGUAACUUCGGGAGAAGGCACGCUGAUAUGUAGGUGAAGCGACUUGCUCGUGGAGCUGAAAUCAGUCGAAGAUACCAGCUGGCUGCAACUGUUUAUUAAAAACACAGCACUGUGCAAACACGAAAGUGGACGUAUACGGUGUGACGCCUGCCCGGUGCCGGAAGGUUAAUUGAUGGGGUUAGCGGUAACGCGAAGCUCUUGAUCGAAGCCCCGGUAAACGGCGGCCGUAACUAUAACGGUCCUAAGGUAGCGAAAUUCCUUGUCGGGUAAGUUCCGACCUGCACGAAUGGCGUAAUGAUGGCCAGGCUGUCUCCACCCGAGACUCAGUGAAAUUGAACUCGCUGUGAAGAUGCAGUGUACCCGCGGCAAGACGGAAAGACCCCGUGAACCUUUACUAUAGCUUGACACUGAACAUUGAGCCUUGAUGUGUAGGAUAGGUGGGAGGCUUUGAAGUGUGGACGCCAGUCUGCAUGGAGCCGACCUUGAAAUACCACCCUUUAAUGUUUGAUGUUCUAACGUGGGCCCCUUACCGGGGUUGCGGACAGUGUCUGGUGGGUAGUUUGACUGGGGCGGUCUCCUCCUAAAGAGUAACGGAGGAGCACGAAGGUUGGCUAAUCCUGGUCGGACAUCAGGAGGUUAGUGCAAUGGCAUAAGCCAGCUUGACUGCGAGCGUGACGGCGCGAGCAGGUGCGAAAGCAGGUCAUAGUGAUCCGGUGGUUCUGAAUGGAAGGGCCAUCGCUCAACGGAUAAAAGGUACUCCGGGGAUAACAGGCUGAUACCGCCCAAGAGUUCAUAUCGACGGCGGUGUUUGGCACCUCGAUGUCGGCUCAUCACAUCCUGGGGCUGAAGUAGGUCCCAAGGGUAUGGCUGUUCGCCAUUUAAAGUGGUACGCGAGCUGGGUUUAGAACGUCGUGAGACAGUUCGGUCCCUAUCUGCCGUGGGCGCUGGAGAACUGAGGGGGGCUGCUCCUAGUACGAGAGGACCGGAGUGGACGCAUCACUGGUGUUCGGGUUGUCAUGCCAAUGGCACUGCCCGGUAGCUAAAUGCGGAAGAGAUAAGUGCUGAAAGCAUCUAAGCACGAAACUUGCCCCGAGAUGAGUUCUCCCUGACUCCUUGAGAGUCCUGAAGGAACGUUGAAGACGACGACGUUGAUAGGCCGGGUGUGUAAGCGCAGCGAUGCGUUGAGCUAACCGGUACUAAUGAACCGUGAGGCUUAACCUUACAACGCCGAAG